CCCGGGAAACUGGGGAUAAUUCCGGAUAACGCACAUAUGCUGGAAUGCUUUAUGCGUGAAAUGGAUUCGUCUGCCCAAGGAUGGGUCUGCGGCCUAUCAGGUAGUAGUGGGUGUAAUGUACCUACUAGCCUACGACGGGUACGGGUUGUGAGAGCAAGAGCCCGGAGAUGGAUUCUGAGACAUGAAUCCAGGCCCUACGGGGCGCAGCAGGCGCGAAAACUUUACAAUGCGGGAAACCGUGAUAAGGGGACACCGAGUGCCAGCAUCCUAUGCUGGCUGUCCAGGUGUGUAAACUACACCUGUUAGCAAGGGCCGGGCAAGACCGGUGCCAGCCGCCGCGGUAACACCGGCGGCCCGAGUGGUGAUCGUGAUUAUUGGGUCUAAAGUGUCCGUAGCCGGUUUGGUCAGUCCUCCGGGAAAUCUGACAGCUUAACUGUUAGGCUUUCGGAGGAUACUGCCAGACUUGGAACCGGGAGAGGUAAGAGGUACUACAGGGGUAGGAGUGAAAUCUUGUAAUCCCUGUGGGACCACCUGUGGCGAAGGCGUCUUACCAGAACGGGUUCGACGGUGAGGGACGAAAGCUGGGGGCACGAACCGGAUUAGAUACCCGGGUAGUCCCAGCCGUAAACGAUGCUCGCUAGGUGUCAGGCAUGGCGCGACCGUGUCUGGUGCCGCAGGGAAGCCGUGAAGCGAGCCACCUGGGAAGUACGGCCGCAAGGCUGAAACUUAA
RNAcentral lists this ribosomal RNA (730 nucleotides) under uncultured archaeon. RNAcentral describes it as "bacterial SSU rRNA". It matches the Rfam family "Archaeal small subunit ribosomal RNA", at positions 131 to 859 of the family's 1478-position model. The record is from RNAcentral.